This 375-nucleotide long non-coding RNA is filed under the name Chelonoidis abingdonii (Abingdon island giant tortoise). Its description in RNAcentral is "lncRNA (ENSCABG00000000421.1)". Lineage: Eukaryota; Metazoa; Chordata; Testudines; Testudinidae. The record is from RNAcentral.
AGUGACGUUUCGAGUUGGGGUCCCGGAUGGAAUUGCUCGCUCCCUGAGGCACCGUCGCUGGGCCGGCCGCAUCCACGUUCCUCUGUUGCCCUCUCAUCUCCUCUGGCCUGAGGCUCUGAGUUCUACUCUCCUUUUCUCCCCCAGCUGUGCUCUGACCACUUUUACAAGAUGAGCACCACCAGUGUGGAUGAUGCUAAACCAGAUGUUAAACAAGAAUCUGAGAAAAAGAUAUUUUAUUGCGAGGUUUGUAAAGUUCCAUGUAUGAGUUCUAUAAGCCUUCAGUCACACUUCCGUGGAGCAAAACAUAAAAAGGUUUAGAACAUGUGGUUGAAAUCAGAUUUGAAGGGAGGAGAGAGCCACAUUAUGAAUGCAAAC